This 469-nucleotide long non-coding RNA is filed under the name Helianthus annuus (common sunflower). The record is from RNAcentral. Lineage: Eukaryota; Viridiplantae; Streptophyta; Magnoliopsida; Asterales; Asteraceae.
AUGUGGAAGCUAAGUGAAAGCAAUAUAAACAAUUUAAAAAGCUUGAUUGAACAAGAAGUGAGGGUAAAAAAUAAGCCACAUACACACCUUAAACAAGACGAAAACCAAAACUAACAUAAUCGUACAAACCCUAAUUUUGUUGAAGCACAAUACCAGAAUACACGUGUAUCAAAGAUGGUAUCAACAUACACAUUAAACUUCAUAGUUUCAACAAUGGCAGUUCAGUUUCUUUACGAGUUUCCAAUCAUAUCCAUCGAGGGCGAACUCGCUGGGUGAACUUUCUUGUUCCCACCAUGUUUAACUCCAACGUUCCUCUUCUCACAAUAUUGAAUGUUAUUCUCCUCCCUUUGCUUAUUUUUCUCCCUGAUACGCUCUUGUUGAGCAUUAAUGUGGGCAAAGUUGAAACCGAUGGACGACAUUGUUGCUAAACUAAAUAUGGUAUAUAUAUGUGUGUGUAUUUAAUGUUGUU